RNAcentral lists this ribosomal RNA (253 nucleotides) under uncultured bacterium. Its description in RNAcentral is "partial 16S ribosomal RNA". It matches the Rfam family "Bacterial small subunit ribosomal RNA", at positions 524 to 776 of the family's 1533-position model. The record is from RNAcentral.
UACGUAGGGGGCAAGCGUUGUCCGGAUUUAUUGGGCGUAAAGCGCGCGUAGGCGGCGCGGUAUGUCGUGCGUGAAAUCUCCCGGCUUAACUGGGAGGGGCCGUGCGAAACUGCCGGGCUUGAGGUCGGAAGGGGAAAGUGGAAUUCCGGGUGUAGUGGUGGAAUACGUAGAUAUCCGGAGGAACACCAGCGGCGAAGGCGGCGUUCUGGUCCGAUACUGACGCUGAGGUGCGAAAGCGUGGGGAGCGAUCCGG